RNAcentral lists this ribosomal RNA (497 nucleotides) under uncultured bacterium. Its description in RNAcentral is "partial 16S ribosomal RNA". It matches the Rfam family "Bacterial small subunit ribosomal RNA", at positions 28 to 507 of the family's 1533-position model. The record is from RNAcentral.
GAUGAACGCUGGCGGCGUGCCUAAUACAUGCAAGUCGAGCGAACGGACGAGAAGUUUGCUUCUCUGAUGUUAGCGGCGGACGGGAGAGUAACACGUGUAUACCCUCCCUAUAAGACUGGGAUCACUUCGGGAAACCGGCGCUAAUACCGGAUAAUAUUUUGCACCGCAUGGUUCAAAAGUGAAAGACGGCCUUGCUGUCACUUAUCGAUGGAUCCGCGCUGCUUUAGCUAGUUGGUAAGGUAACGGCUUACCAAGGCAACGAUGCAUAGCCGACCUGAGAGGGUGGUCGGCCACACGGGAGCGGAGACACGGACCAGACGCCUGCGGGAGGCAGCAGUAGGGAAUCUUCCGCAAUGGGCGGAAGCCUUACAGAGCAAGGCCGCGUGAGAGAUGAAAGUCUUCGGAGCGUAAAACCCUGUUAUUAGGUAUAAACAUAUUUGUAAGUAACUGUGCACAUCUUGACGGUACCUGAUCAAGAAGCCACGGCUAACUACGUG